This 288-nucleotide ribosomal RNA is filed under the name uncultured bacterium. Its description in RNAcentral is "partial 16S ribosomal RNA". It matches the Rfam family "Bacterial small subunit ribosomal RNA", at positions 333 to 638 of the family's 1533-position model. The record is from RNAcentral.
UUCUCCCUACGGGGGGCAGCAGUGGGGAAUAUUGCACAAUGGGGGAAACCCUGAUGCAGCGACGCCGCGUGAGUGAAGAAGUAUUUCGGUAUGUAAAGCUCUGUCAGCAGAGAAGAAAAUGACGGUACCUGACCAAGAGGCCCCGGCUAACUACGUGCCAGCAGCCGCGGUAAUACGUAGGGGGCAAGCGUUAUCCGGAUUUACUGGGUGUAAAGGGAGCGUAGACGGCAGGGCAAGUCUGGAGUGAAAGGCGGGGGCCCAACCCCCGGACUGCUCUGGAAACUGCCA